RNAcentral lists this small RNA (136 nucleotides) under Escherichia coli. RNAcentral describes it as "RtT sRNA". It matches the Rfam family "RtT RNA". From Rfam's summary of the family: This family represents a bacterial cis-regulatory element known as RtT RNA. The exact function of RtT is unknown although it is thought that it may be involved in changing the cellular response in relation to amino acid starvation. Lineage: Bacteria; Pseudomonadati; Pseudomonadota; Gammaproteobacteria; Enterobacterales; Enterobacteriaceae. The record is from RNAcentral.
AUAAUGCACUCACAGGGGGGAUGAGAAGCCCCGACCGGGGUUCGACAACUGGCGCAGCCAGUUGGACAGACCACGAACGCAGUGAGUGGGCUGCCCGCAGGGCGAGCGAAGCGAGUCAAUCCCCCCCUCACCGCCA